GGGGCCGUGGUGUAGUUAGACCCUUUUCCGAUAGCUUUCGCUUAUUCAAAAGCGUCUAUGGAAAAGGUCCUGUAGUGGUCUAGCAUUGCAGCAUGGGGCGCUGCCGACCGGGGUUCAAAUCCUCGCGGCCCCA
This 133-nucleotide transfer RNA is filed under the name Candidatus Aenigmatarchaeota archaeon. RNAcentral describes it as "tRNA-Pro". The record is from RNAcentral. Lineage: Archaea; Nanobdellati; Candidatus Aenigmatarchaeota.